RNAcentral lists this ribosomal RNA (497 nucleotides) under uncultured bacterium. RNAcentral describes it as "partial 16S ribosomal RNA". It matches the Rfam family "Bacterial small subunit ribosomal RNA", at positions 28 to 507 of the family's 1533-position model. The record is from RNAcentral.
GAUGAACGCUGGCGGCGUGCCUAAUACAUGCAAGUCGAGCGAACGGACGAGAAGCUUGCUUCUCUGAUGUUAGCGGCGGACGGGUGAGUAACACGUGGAUAACCUACCUAUAAGACUGGGAUAACUUCGGGAAACCGGAGCUAAUACCGGAUGAUAUUUUGAACCGCAUGGUUCAAAAGUGAAAGACGGUUUUGCUGUCACUUAUAGAUGGAUCCGCGCUGCAUUAGCUAGUUGGUAAGGUAACGGCUUACCAAGGCAACGAUGCAUAGCCGACCUGAGAGAGUGAUCGGCCACACUGGAACUGAGACACGGUCCAGACUCCUACGGGAGGCAGCAGUAGGGAAUCGUCCGCAAUGGGCGAAAGCCUGACGGAGCAACGCCGCGUGAGUGAUGAAGGUCUUCGGAUCGUAAAACUCUGUUAUUAGGGAAGAACAUAUGUGUAAGUAACUAUGCACAUCUUGACGGUACCUAAUCAGAAAGCCACGGCUAACUACGUG